Molecule: ribosomal RNA, 301 nt
Filed under: uncultured bacterium
Lineage: Bacteria
Description: partial 16S ribosomal RNA
Rfam family: Bacterial small subunit ribosomal RNA
Source: RNAcentral
CAGCAGCCGCGGGAAUACGAGGGGUGCAGGCGUUAUUCGGAUUGAUUGGGUGUAAAGGGUGUGCAGACGGCUUAUUAAGUCACUUGUUAAAUUCUUCGGCCUAACUGAAGGUCUGCAAGUGAUACUGAUGAGCUAGAGGGUGGAAGAGAGAAGUGGGAUUCUCGGAGUAGCGGUAAAAUGCGUAGAUCUCGAGAGGAACACCAAUGGCGAAGGCAGCUUCUUGGUCCAUUCCUGACGUUCAUACACGAAAGCGUGGGGAGCAAACAGGAUUAGAUACCCCAGUAGUCCCUGUCUCUUAUAA